AGAAGGGGUGCCUGAGAAAUCAGGCCGCAGAGAAUAGGCACAAGCAACUGUUUAACAAAAACACAGGUCUCUGCUAAAGCGAAAGCUGAUGUAUAGGGGCUGACGCCUGCCCGGUGCUGGAAGGUUAAGGGGAACACUUAGUGAAAUAUCGCGAAGGUGUGAACUUAAGCCCCAGUAAACGGCGGCCGUAACUAUAACGGUCCUAAGGUAGCGAAAUUCCUUGUCAGGUAAGUUCUGACCCGCACGAAUGGCGUAAUGACUUGUGCACUGUCUCAACUGC
This is a ribosomal RNA of 280 nucleotides. It matches the Rfam family "Bacterial large subunit ribosomal RNA", at positions 1741 to 2027 of the family's 2925-position model.